AGCGAACAGACGAGGAGCUUGCUCCUCUGACGUUAGCGGCGGACGGGUGAGUAACACGUGGAUAACCUACCUAUAAGACUGGGAUAACUUCGGGAAACCGGAGCUAAUACCGGAUAAUAUAUUGAACCGCAUGGUUCAAUAGUGAAAGACGGUUUUGCUGUCACUUAUAGAUGGAUCCGCGCCGCAUUAGCUAGUUGGUAAGAUAACGGCUUACCAAGGCAACGAUGCGUAGCCGACCUGAGAGGGUGAUCGGCCACACUGGAACUGAGACACGGUCCAGACUCCUACGGGAGGCAGCAGUAGGGAAUCUUCCGCAAUGGGCGAAAGCCUGACGGAGCAACGCCGCGUGAGUGAUGAAGGUCUUCGGAUCGUAAAACCCUGUUAUUAGGGAAGAACAAAUGUGUAAGUAACUAUGCACGUCUUGACGGUACCUAAUCAGAAAGCCACGGCUAACUACGUGCCAGCAGCCGCGGUAAUACGUAGGUGGCAAGCGUUAUCCGGAAUUAUUGGGCGUAAAGCGCGCGUAGGCGGUUUUUUAAGUCUGAUGUGAAAGCCCACGGCUCAACCGUGGAGGGUCAUUGGAAACUGGAAAACUUGAGUGCAGAAGAGGAAAGUGGAAUUCCAUGUGUAGCGGUGAAAUGCGCAGAGAUAUGGAGGAACACCAGUGGCGAAGGCGACUUUCUGGUCUGUAACUGACGCUGAUGUGCGAAAGCGUGGGGA
This 720-nucleotide ribosomal RNA is filed under the name uncultured Staphylococcus sp. Its description in RNAcentral is "bacterial SSU rRNA". It matches the Rfam family "Bacterial small subunit ribosomal RNA", at positions 65 to 767 of the family's 1533-position model. The record is from RNAcentral. Lineage: Bacteria; Bacillati; Bacillota; Bacilli; Caryophanales; Staphylococcaceae.